This is a long non-coding RNA of Neofelis nebulosa (Clouded leopard), 2228 nucleotides long. RefSeq lists it as uncharacterized. The transcript has 3 exons. The record is from RefSeq and is a predicted model, not a curated record. NCBI's taxonomy places the organism in Eukaryota, Metazoa, Chordata, Mammalia, Carnivora, Felidae.
UGAUGUUGAGCAUUGUUUCAUGUGUCUGUUGGCCCCCUGGAUGUCUUCUAUGGAAAAGUGUCUAUUUAUGUUUUCUGCCCAUUUCUUCACUGGAUUAUUUGUUUUUCAGGUGUGGAGUUUGAAUUUUAGCCACGGAAGAGAUGCAAGCCUAUCCACGAAGGAAAAGAUUUGGUCCAGUGAGAAAACAUACAAACUACGAGAUGGAGAAGUUGUAUGAAAUCCAUCCGUAUGAACAGCUUUUCCUGGAUUAUACUUUGGACAAGUGGGACAAGUAAGACUUUGUGUCCUUUAAGGCCAAGAACUUUUCUGUGAAGAGGUUUGAGGAAGGGGAAGGGAGAAGCAAAUCAUCUGUAUACCGUAAUAAAUUAGAGACUGUAGAAGACUUUAUAUCAUCUAAAUCAGCUUUUAAGAUUUGUAAAGGUGGGAAGGACUCUCUGUGAAUCCCCGGGGCAUUAUUGUCCAGGUGUAUUUCUGUUCUUUCCUGUAAAAGACAAAAAAUAUAUUGGUUAUCUUUAUCAACUGGAAUACUAAAAAUGCACUGCAUAAAACAAUUAUAGUGAAGAGUUUGCUCUCAGUGGGAAUGGAUGUUAGCACAUGGGACUUAUGAACUUUAGGGUACUGAGGGAUAACUGUGGUUAUUUGUAUUUAUUGCUCAGAGGUCUUGGAGAAACCUCCAGCCGUGGCCAUGGGGUUUUCUCACAGGUAAAACAGAGGUGUUGCAGGGACCAUUGGAAGGGGUAAUUAGACCCUGAGCUUUAUAAUCUUUUAUAAUGGGCCUGAUGCCUUGAAGGACUUCUUUAUAAGGUAUUGAUUAUUAUGGGAGGAGGCUUUAAAGGAUCUAUUUAAAUCCUGAUGGGAGAUGCAGUGUAGAUUCUGCCCAUAUAAGUUGAGGAUUUUCUUGCAUAAAGAGGAUGGUAUCAGAUCUAAUAAGAAUAAAUAAUCAGUGUCCGCAGACUCAGCAAUAGUGCUGUCAGAGACAGAACAAACAAAAGAUGUCGAAUGGUCAUUUAAUUCCCCUAGUUGGCUAUUUUGGUUACAACUGUCAAAUUCUGGAAUGAUUUCCCCCUUUUGGGAGAGAUUUUGCUAUGAUACUUUUCUAAGAAAUCUUGGUCCGAUAAAUGAAUAAGGGCAUAAGAACAAAGGAGAAAAAAGGAUAGGUGUCUCUCAAGGGGCCUAGAUAAAAGAAAAUACGCUCAGAGGCAGGAAACUAUUGACGCUUAUUAGACACCCCAAGUAUUUGAGCUGUUUUAGUGCUCCAAGACAGGGACUGCUUUAUAUCAGGGGUGUUAAGCGCUGAGAGUGUAGGUCUGAUGUCAAUAAGGACAGGGAGAGAUUAAUUACCAAUCUGAAAAGUGUUUUCUUCUGAGCUGAUUAAGAAGAAGGAUUGGGAAGAGCCCUUGUAGUUCCCUGGACCAUGUCACUGGCAAUUCAGAGGGCUUUGGAAAGACUGACCAGAGGGCUGAGGAUGCAUGGAACAUUUAAAUUUGUAACAAUCUGUCUCUUUUUUUAAAUUCAAUAAUAGCAGAAAGGCUAUUUGGUUUUGUUCAAGGGUCUUCAUUUUCUGGAGUUGAACAUUGAGAAUUUUAGCAAUCUUUCUUCUAGUUGCCUCAUGUAGGGCGUGAGUUGGUUUGCCAUAUUAAGUAUAUUUGGAGUGGGUUACUUCCCAUUCCGUUCUGCUCCUCUUUAACUAAAAGAGAAAAGCUUAACCCUCUGAUAAACAUAGAGUUAAAUGCUACCUAGGUGGAUUCAACAUCUAAAAGAAGAUCAGAAUUUUACUUAAAGACAAUUUGGAGUUGAUUGUAAUAAUUAUUAACACAUUCAUCAAGCUUUGGUGUGCAAGCCUGAAUUUUGUUCUGAUCAAGAGGCUUAGGAAAAGUUAUUGUUUUUUUAAUAUGAAAUUUAUUGUCAAAUUGGUUUCCAUACAACACCCAGUGCUCAUCCCAACAGGUGCCCUCCCCAACACCCACUACCCACCCUCCCCAACCUCCCACCCCCCAUCAACCCUCAGUUUGUUCCCAGUUUUUAAAAGUCUCUUAUGUUUGGAUCCUUCCCUCUCCAACCUUUCUUUUUUUGUUGUUCUUUCCCCUCCCUCAUGGUCUUCUGGUAAGUUUCUCAGGAUCCACAUAAGAGUGAAAACAUAUGGUAUCUGUCUUUCUCUGUAGGACUUAUUUCACUUAGCAUAACACUCUCCAGUUCCAUCCACGUUGCUACAAAGGGCCAUAUUUCAU